AGUGAACGCUGGCGGUAGGCCUAACACAUGCAAGUCGAACGCCAGCACAGUAAGAGCUUGCUCUUACGGGUGGCGGGUCGCGGACGGGUGAGGAAUACAUCGGGAUCUACACUUUCGGGGGGGAUAACGUAGGGAAACUUACGCUAAUAUCGCAUACGACCUCCGGGGGUAAGCAGGGGAUCUGCGGACCUUGUGUGAUUGAAGGAGACGAUGUCGCAUUAGCUAGUUGGCGGGGUAAAGGCCCACCAAGGCGACGAUCCGUAGCUGGUCUGAGAGGAUGGUGAGCGACACUGGAAGUGAGACACGGUCCAGACUCCUACGGGAGGCCGCAGUGGGGAAUGUUGGACGAUGGGGGCAAGCCUGAUCCAGCGAUACCGGGUUGGUGAAGAAGGCCUGCGGGUUGGAAAGCCGUUUUGUUGGGGAAGAAAAGCAGCAGCUGAAUACCCGGCUGUACUGACGGUACCCAAAGAAGAAGCACCGGCUAACUACGUG
RNAcentral lists this ribosomal RNA (492 nucleotides) under uncultured bacterium. RNAcentral describes it as "partial 16S ribosomal RNA". It matches the Rfam family "Bacterial small subunit ribosomal RNA", at positions 30 to 507 of the family's 1533-position model. The record is from RNAcentral.